AUGCUCCAUGGGCAGCACUGCCACAGCUCCUACUGUCCUACAGGGCCGCUCUGCUGGAGAGAGCCAUGGCAGUGGGCACCCUCUCAUCCAAGCACCGAUUUUCUCUGGUGGCAUGAGAGAGAACUGAGAGAAGCUGCACAGAGAGCACCUGGGAGCUGCUCUUCAAUCUCAGGACUGAUGGAGGGUGAACAAAGAUCCAGGAGACUGGAAAAUGACCUCUCAAGAGCUAUUCCAGCCAUGAUUACCAACCCUGUAAGAAGGGGGAAAAAAAGGGGUUUUGUGAUGAGUGAGCUCUUUUCUGCAGUACCGGGCUGUGACCUAAGAUGCCUUGGUGUCUGUUCUCAGCUCUCCAGCUGGCUCUCUGGGCAGAGGAGGAUUCUUGACCUUGCCAGGACUUAUGCUCAAGAGAAAAGAAGUCCUUGUACAUACUAUAUAUGAUGAUGAUUCCUUCAACGUGUAAAAAGAUAAGAUUAAAAAGAAUCCUGUAAAAACAAGUAACAUAGAAUUUAAUGUUUGCUUUCAGUUAGAAAGCCUCCCAGAUCUUUAAGCUGAUGGAUUGUCAUAUCUAUAAAUAGACCUACUCUCUUAACCUCUUAAUAACCAUGGGUUGUACACCAUAGGCUAUAUCUGGCACAAGUGCAAUUUACUGCAGUCAAUUUAGUUACCUCGGGGACACAUUUAUUACUGUUAUGGCAGCAACAGCCUGAAACCCAAAUGGGGAAUAGGGGCCCUAAUGCACCAGGAACUCUGGAAACUCCUAACAGAACCAGACAGCCCCUGCUCCAACCUGAAUCCAGACUCACCGGCGGCGCUCCCACGCAUGCUUUGACAGCAGCAGGGAGAGGUCCGGUCCUGUCACGCAGAAUAUGAAAAACAACAUUGCAAGGCAUGACCUGCAUGCCACACACUCGUACUGCAUUUGGGUGGGAGCAGAGGCUGGCAAGUGCGGGUGAGGUGCUGAGCUGGCAUGCGCUGGGCUUUUGGGAAAAACAAAAAGCACAAGCCAGGAGCAAGCCGCGGCAUGGCUGGGGCGAGGACAUGGUCCCAACGUUGCAUAGUGCAUGGGUAUGGCAGGCAGGGGCUCAACACCCACUUACUGCCUCAGUUUCCCCAGCCACCUGCUUGCACAGCCCCAGCUGCCCCCUCCUCUCUAUUUUUUGGAAAUAUAGAGUUAGGUGGGACACCUGUGUAGUGAAGUUUUAAAGCCUGCAUCAUUUGGCACUUUCUAACUGUGAUCAGCAGCUCAGUAAAGGGCAAAGACAACCACGGCACCAGAGAUCAGCUUUACAGAUUUUUAUUUUUUAAUCUGUACAGAACGCUGUUGCUAUUAUAAUAAGGCAUCAAACACACAAUCGAAAAGCUCACGAUGAACUGUGAUGUUUCACCCUUGCGUGGGUCAAAAAGGAGUUUUACAAGAUUAAAGCCGUUGCUUUCCCAGUCAGUAAACUUGAUAUUCAUUACAGACAGAUUUUUAAAAGAAUUACAAAGAUUAAAAAACUGUAAACAUAUCAAAACCAGCGACAACCCAGCAUAGCUUCCUAGGAGAGAGUUUCGGGUUUCCCUGCUGCGGGUCAGGCCUCGGGCUGGCAGGGCGGAGGCGAGGCCGGCUGGGCCGGAGCCAGGCUGGGUGCCUCCCCACGGACCUCUCUGGGUGGCAGAGUCCCACGGCACAGCUCUCAGCAGUUCCCAAAUGGCCCAGCCUCUGUCACAAAUUUCUGACUGAGAAAAAGAAACUGAGAAAACCGGUCCCCGGGGAGCUGUUUCAGCAGCACAGGGUACAGGGAGAAGCCCCGGCCAAGGCCUCGCGUUCCCUCGGUGGGGAGGCAGAGGCCGGGGCAGAGCCUGGCCCUAGGGGCUGGCAGCCCCCGCUGACACGUCAUGAGGUAGAAAAUGGGCAAACGUCACAUUUUGCUGUGAGGGUCAGUCAGGAAUAGACUGUUCCUCCCCCGGCACGAAUCAUGGUUUGUUUCCAGGGUGCUCCAAGGGGUACCUAACACCCACCUGGUAUGCCCCAAAAUUCACAGCCCUCCAUUGAUCCAUGCAAAAAGUUUAGCCGAGGUGAUGGAAAAAUACAACUUUCCUCACACUUGUACCCUUAAAGCAUUUACAUUUUGAGUAGGGGAAACCAAAUUGCUAGGGUGUAUGAGCAGGCAAUUAAUCUCCCUCGGCCUCAGCCUUUGGUACUGCCAUUUGUGACCGGGAUAAUGUGGACACCCAUCCACCAGGCAGCGGACUAAUACAUUCACUUCCCACAACCAACCACCAGACAACAAGCAUUUUGGUUUCUCUUGCACUGUACAUCAUUAGAACCUGAGAGUCCAGAGGUUUUACAUCACACCACCAACCCACACAGCCUUCUCGUUUGUUUGGUGAUCAGAGAAAUGUCCUGAGAGCUUUAUCUGCUGAACUCCUGCACUCUGUCCUCUAAAGGCCUGCCUUCACCUCUUUUGUAGCACACUUUAACACCAAAAUAAAGAAACUGCAUUAGUUCUGCUUUAUUAUUAU
Molecule: long non-coding RNA, 2505 nt
Organism: Anser cygnoides (Swan goose)
Lineage: Eukaryota; Metazoa; Chordata; Aves; Anseriformes; Anatidae
Source: Ensembl